This 497-nucleotide ribosomal RNA is filed under the name uncultured bacterium. Its description in RNAcentral is "partial 16S ribosomal RNA". It matches the Rfam family "Bacterial small subunit ribosomal RNA", at positions 28 to 507 of the family's 1533-position model. The record is from RNAcentral.
GAUGAACGCUGGCGGCGUGCCUAAUACAUGCAAGUCGAGCGAACAGAUGAGGAGCUUGCUCCCCUGACGUUAGCGGCGGACGGGUGAGUAACACGUGGAUAACCUACCUAUAAGACUGGGAUAACUUCGGGAAACCGGAGCUAAUACCGGAUAAUAUAUUGAACCGCAUGGUUCAAUAGUGAAAGACGGUUUUGCUGUCACUUAUAGAUGGAUCCGCGCCGCAUUAGCUAGUUGGUAAGGUAACGGCUUACCAAGGCAACGAUGCGUAGCCGACCUGAGAGGGUGAUCGGCCACACUGGAACUGAGACACGGUCCAGACUCCUACGGGAGGCAGCAGUAGGGAAUCUUCCGCAAUGGGCGAAAGCUUGACGGAGCAACGCCGCGUGAGUGAUGAAGGUCUUCGGAUCGUAAAACUCUGUUAUUAGGGAAGAACAAAUGUGUAAGUAACUAUGCACGUCUUGACGGUACCUAAUCAGAAAGCCACGGCUAACUACGUG